RNAcentral lists this microRNA precursor (168 nucleotides) under Pelobates cultripes (western spadefoot toad). Lineage: Eukaryota; Metazoa; Chordata; Amphibia; Anura; Pelobatidae. The record is from RNAcentral.
GCAGACACAUUCCAGCCAAUCAGCAGCAGACCCUCCCUUCCAGACCCUCCCACCUCCUGGACAGCUCACUUAAAAUGCAGCUUCACAAUGGAUGUAAAAUGGAUGCUGUCCAGGAGAUGGGAGGGUCUGGGAGGGAGGGUCUGCUGGUGAUUGGCUGGAAUGUGUCUG